UACGAAGGGGGCGAGCGUUGUUCGGAAUUACUGGGCGUAAAGGGCGCGUAGGCGGCCCCUUUUGUCGCGUGUGAAAGCCCCGGGCUCAACCUGGGAGGUGCGCGCGAAACGGGGGGGCUUGAGUUCGGGAGAGGAGCGUGGAAUUCCCAGUGUAGAGGUGAAAUUCGUAGAUAUUGGGAAGAACACCGGUGGCGAAGGCGGCGCUCUGGACCGAGACUGACGCUGAGGCGCGAAAGCGUGGGGAGCAAACAGG
This 253-nucleotide ribosomal RNA is filed under the name uncultured bacterium. Its description in RNAcentral is "partial 16S ribosomal RNA". It matches the Rfam family "Bacterial small subunit ribosomal RNA", at positions 524 to 776 of the family's 1533-position model. The record is from RNAcentral.